AUUAAAGUCACAACGGCAAAAGAUGAGCAUGCGUCCCAUUAGCUAGUUGGUAAGGUAACGGCUUACCAUGGCUACGAUGGGUAGGGGUCCUGAGAGGAGAUCCCCCCACACUGGUACUGAGACACGGACCAGACUCCUACGGGAGGCAGCAGUGAGGAAUAUUGGUCAAUGGACGCAAGUCUGAACCAGCCAUGCCGCGUGCAGGAUGACGGUCCUAUGGAUUGUAAACUGCUUUUGUACGAGAAGAAACAACAUUACGUGUAAUGUCUUGACGGUAUCGUAAGAAUAAGGAUCGGCUAACUCCGUG
This 307-nucleotide ribosomal RNA is filed under the name uncultured bacterium. RNAcentral describes it as "bacterial SSU rRNA". It matches the Rfam family "Bacterial small subunit ribosomal RNA", at positions 200 to 507 of the family's 1533-position model. The record is from RNAcentral.